GGCGCAAUCGAUUGCUCGGUGCUCCGCGCCCUCCCCUGGCAGCCCGGCACUAGGGGCUCCGGGAGCUAGCGGGGGCCUGCAGGGUGCGGAAAUCGAUUCGCUCUGCCCCACCCCAAGCGCAGGCCGGCCCCGCGGAAUCCGCGUUCACCCCCGGCGCCGCCAAGGCCGCGGCUACGGGAAGCGGCGAGGGACGCGACCCGCGCGCUAGGCCGGCCGCCAUGUUGCGGUGGCUGAUGGGAGGCAGCCGGGAGCCGCAGGGGCUAGCAGAGAAAUCGUCUGUGCAGACCAUAGGUGAAGAACAAAUUCAGAAUCCUUACACUGAGCUCCUUGUGCUAAGAGGUCAUCAAGAUAUAGUGCGAUUUCUAGUACAGAUAGAUGAAUAUCGAUUUGCAUCUGCAGGAGAUGAUGGAAUUAUAUUUUUGUGGAAUGCUCAGACUGGAGAAAAACUAUUUGAGCUACAUGGACACACACACAAAAUUACAGCUGUUACAGCCUUUCCUUCACCUAGUGCUUGUGAAGAUGAAAAACAUUUGAUCUUAACAGCAUCUGCUGAUAGGACAGUUAUUGUUUGGGAUUGUAAUAGUGGCAGGCAAGUUCAGAAAGUAACUUCCUUCCACUCUACUGUGAAGUGUUUGACGGUUCUUCAAAGACUGGAUGUAUGGUUGUCUGGAGGGAGUGAUCUGUGUGUUUGGAACAGAAAAUUAGAUCUCUUGUGUAAGACUAGUCAUCUUACUGAAGCAGGUGUCAGUGCUUUGGUUGAGUUGCCUAAAACCUGCAUUGCAGCAGCUGUUGGCAAGGAAUUGACCAUUUUUAGGUUGAUUGCUUCCACCAAUGAAUCAGAAAGUUGGGAUGUUAUUGAAGUGAAACGCCUGGUUGACCAUCAGGAUAACAUCCUGUCAUUGAUCAAUGUCAAUGAUUUGACUUUUGUUACUGGUUCUCAUGUGGGUGAGCUGAUAGUUUGGGAUGCAUUGGAUUGGACAAAGCAGGCAUCUGAAUGUGGCUUCUGGGAUUCCUCUCUUCACACAGACACGCAGCAGGAAAUCAAGUUAACGCAAAACCAAAAAGAAAUAUCAAUUCAAUGUCUAGCAUCUGAUGUGGAGUGUGUGUUUGCAGCUGUUGGGAAGGGAAUAUAUGUAUAUAAUCUUCAAAUGAAGCGUGUGAUUGCCUGCCAGAGAACAGCUCAUGACUCCAGUGUGCUGCACAUCACAAAACUUCCAAACAGGCAGCUGCUAUCAUGUUCAGAGGAUGGCAGUAUUCGUAUUUGGGAGCUACGAGAAAAGCAGCAGCUUUCAGCUGAGCCUGUUCCAACAGGCUUUUUCAACAUGUGGGGAUUUGGAAGGGCCAACAAGCAAGCAAACCAAAGUGCCAAAAAGACUCAAGAAAGUUUGACUUUGUAUUCCUUGGAGCUUAUUGGUGACCUGAUUGGUCACUCAUCAGCUGUGCAGAUGUUCCUGUUCUUUGGUGAACUUGGACUGGUGACAUGCUCUGCUGACCAUCUGAUUAUUUUGUGGAAAGAUGGAGAGAGAGAGUCUCAGCUGCGCAGUCUGACAUUAUUUCAGAAACUAGAGCAAAAUGGUGAUUUGCAACUUAGGUUCUAAGUUGAUUGUCAGAGAGGAGAGGAAACAACAACACAGAGCCUAGAAGAUGCAAUGAACACAUUCAAGGCCCACAAAGGUGAAGCCAAGCAGCACACAAUCAUACACUGAACAGCUGCACAUUCUGCAUAAUGCGUGCCAUCUCAUUUUAUCAACUGGCAUGUUGCUGUAUUAUCACAUACAAAAUAAUACUGUAACCUAUAAACAGUGGUGAUGCCCACCUUAAUCUACAAGCUCUGCUUGCAAUGCCACUGCCAAGGACACACAAGCUACUGAGGUAGGCAGCCGCCGAUGCAUGAACUGACAGGAUUAUGAAUGCCCUCAGGGACUGUGAGCAUUGGCUGCGUGAGAUGGUGGGUCAUCUGGUUAUGAGCAGAUUCAUGGCUAUCUAGCACGAAAAGAGCUGCACUGAGUCCAAGAGGCAUUCCAAGACCCGGGAGGACUGGCAAAUAAUGACGAGGCUCCUGGCAACGAUUUUAUGCCUGUUGGUCACUGGCCUCACUCCUACCCCUGCCCCUGCCAGGAAGUCAUGGAGGCAGGUGCAGAUCUGUCCUCUGCCACCCACAACUUCUCUGUCAAGAUCUGAAAGUCCACCUUAGAGCCAAGUUCUUUUACUUAGAAAUGAUUACUGCUUAGAUUGAUUUUUUUCAUGCUUUAUGCACCGUUAUGGUAGUAAAAAGAAAUUCCUGUUAUGUAGUAAUUAUGCAUCAUUAUCUUAUAAAAGUUGUUCUGUGGUUUGUUUAAUUUUGUUUAAUUUUUGGUUUGUAAAUAAAGGUUUCUAUUUGCUUUGUUCGA
Alligator mississippiensis (American alligator) is the source of this 2390-nucleotide RNA transcript. It is a transcript of the gene named WD repeat domain 41, with no coding region annotated. The transcript is spliced from 15 exons. The record is from RefSeq and is a predicted model, not a curated record. NCBI's taxonomy places the organism in Eukaryota, Metazoa, Chordata, Crocodylia, Alligatoridae.